UACGUAGGGGGCGAGCGUUGUCCGGAAUUACUGGGCGUAAAGGGUACGUAGGCGGCUAUAUAAGUCAGGUGUGAAAUACCAGUGCUUAACACUGGAAUUGCAUUUGAAACUGUGUAGCUUGAGUGCAGGAGAGGAAAGUGGAAUUCCUAGUGUAGCGGUGAAAUGCGUAGAGAUUAGGAGGAACACCAGUGGCGAAGGCGACUUUCUGGACUGUAACUGACGCUGAGGUACGAAAGCGUGGGUAGCGAACAGGAUUAGAUACCCUGGUAGUCCACGCGGUAAACGAUGAGUGCUAGGUGUAGCGGGUAUCGACCCCUGCUGUGCUGGAGUUAACACAAUAAGUAUCCCACCUGGGGAGUACGGCCGCAAGGUUGAA
This 376-nucleotide ribosomal RNA is filed under the name uncultured bacterium. RNAcentral's name for it is "bacterial SSU rRNA". It matches the Rfam family "Bacterial small subunit ribosomal RNA", at positions 524 to 898 of the family's 1533-position model. The record is from RNAcentral.